CAGCAGCCGCGGGAAUACGUAGGUCCCGAGCGUUGUCCGGAUUUAUUGGGCGUAAAGCGAGCGCAGGCGGUUAGAUAAGUCUGAAGUUAAAGGCUGUGGCUUAACCAUAGUACGCUUUGGAAACUGUUUAACUUGAGUGCAAGAGGGGAGAGUGGAAUUCCAUGUGUAGCGGUGAAAUGCGUAGAUAUAUGGAGGUACACCGGUGGCGAAAGCGGCCCUCUGGCUUGUAACUGACGCUGAGGCUCGAAAGCGUGGGGAGCGAACAGGAUUAGAGACCCCUGUAGUCCCUGUCUCUUAUACA
This 301-nucleotide ribosomal RNA is filed under the name uncultured bacterium. RNAcentral's name for it is "partial 16S ribosomal RNA". It matches the Rfam family "Bacterial small subunit ribosomal RNA", at positions 509 to 808 of the family's 1533-position model. The record is from RNAcentral.